UGCCCUACGGGGCGCAGCAGUGGGGAAUAUUGGGCAAUGGGCGCAAGCCUGACCCAGCAACGCCGCGUGAAGGAAGAAGGCUUUCGGGUUGUAAACUUCUUUUAUGAGGGACGAAAGAAAUGACGGUACCUCAUGAAUAAGCCACGGCUAACUACGUGCCAGCAGCCGCGGUAAUACGUAGGUGGCAAGCGUUAUCCGGAUUUACUGGGUGUAAAGGGCGUGUAGGCGGGAAAGCAAGUCAGAUGUGAAAACCAUGGGCUCAACCUGUGGCCUGCAUUUGAAACUGUUUUUCUUGAGUACUGGAG
Molecule: ribosomal RNA, 305 nt
Filed under: uncultured bacterium
Lineage: Bacteria
Description: bacterial SSU rRNA
Rfam family: Bacterial small subunit ribosomal RNA
Source: RNAcentral